RNAcentral lists this ribosomal RNA (511 nucleotides) under uncultured bacterium. RNAcentral's name for it is "partial 16S ribosomal RNA". It matches the Rfam family "Bacterial small subunit ribosomal RNA", at positions 28 to 505 of the family's 1533-position model. The record is from RNAcentral.
GACGAACGCUGGCGGCGUGCUUAACACAUGCAAGUCGAACGAAAAGAGGGAAAGAGCUUGCUCUUUCCGGAAUUGAGUGGCAAACGGGUGAGUAACACGUAAACAACCUGCCUUCAGGAUGGGGACAACAGACGGAAACGACUGCUAAUACCGAAUAAGUUCCAAGGGCCGCAUGGCCCAUGGAAGAAAAGGUGGCCUCUACCUGUAAGCUAUCGCCUGAAGAGGGGUUUGCGUCUGAUUAGCUGGUUGGAGGGGUAACGGCCCACCAAGGCGACGAUCAGUAGCCGGUCUGAGAGGAUGAACGGCCACACUGGAACUGAGACACGGUCCAGACUCCUACGGGAGGCAGCAGUGGGGAAUCUUCCGCAAUGGGCGAAAGCCUGACGGAGCAACGCCGCGUGAGUGAUGACGGCCUUCGGGUUGUAAAACUCUGUGAUCCGGGACGAAAAGGCAGAGUGCGAAGAACAAACUGCAUUGACGGUACCGGAAAAGCAAGCCACGGCUAACUACG